GAUGAACGCUGGCGGCGUGCUUAACACAUGCAAGUCGAACGGAAAGGCUCCUGCUUGCAGGGGUACUCGAGUGGCGAACGGGUGAGUAACACGUGGGUGAUCUGCCCUGCACUUCGGGAUAAGCCUGGGAAACUGGGUCUAAUACCGGAUAGGACGAUGGUUUGGAUGCCAUUGUGGAAAGUUUUUCGGUGUGGGAUGAGCUCGCGGCCUAUCAGCUUGUUGGUGGGGUAAUGGCCUACCAAGGCGUCGACGGGUAGCCGGCCUGAGAGGGUGUACGGCCACAUUGGGACUGAGAUACGGCCCAGACUCCUACGGGUGGCAGCAGUGGGGAAUAUUGCACAAUGGGCGCAAGCCUGAUGCAGCGACGCCGCGUGGGGGAUGACGGCCUUCGGGUUGUAAACUCCUUUCGCUAGGGACGAAGCGCAAGUGACGGUACCUGGAGAAGAAGCACCGGCUAACUACGUG
RNAcentral lists this ribosomal RNA (465 nucleotides) under uncultured bacterium. Its description in RNAcentral is "partial 16S ribosomal RNA". It matches the Rfam family "Bacterial small subunit ribosomal RNA", at positions 28 to 507 of the family's 1533-position model. The record is from RNAcentral.